GCGUUGUCCGGAUUUAUUGGGCGUAAAGAGCGUGUAGGCGGCCAGACAGGUCCGUUGUGAAAACUGGAGGCUUAACCUCCAGACGUCGAUGGAAACCGUUUGGCUAGAGUCCGGAAGAGGAGAGCGGAAUUCCUGGUGUAGCGGUGAAAUGCGCAGAUAUCAGGAAGAACACCCGUGGCUAAGGCGGCUCUCUAGUACGGUACUGACGCUAAGACGCGAAAGCGUG
Molecule: ribosomal RNA, 226 nt
Filed under: uncultured bacterium
Lineage: Bacteria
Description: partial 16S ribosomal RNA
Rfam family: Bacterial small subunit ribosomal RNA
Source: RNAcentral